This 932-nucleotide long non-coding RNA is filed under the name Sus scrofa (pig). Its description in RNAcentral is "lncRNA (ENSSSCG00070020438.1)". Lineage: Eukaryota; Metazoa; Chordata; Mammalia; Artiodactyla; Suidae. The record is from RNAcentral.
UAACGGGCAACUUGACCUCUGGUCAGAACAUCCCAAACAGUUGAGAGCAAGGACAGAGCCUUUGGUAUUAAAUGCCUCUGAACUGAAAGGGCGGGAAGGCAGUGUUCCGGCUCUUGUGCUUCGGACAUGGAGCAACUUCUUUUAACCACUUGUCACAGGCUACGUGGGCAGCUCGUGCGUUCUGGAAUUUCUGAGGGAGACUUACCAAGUGCUUUCUGCUGAGACUGACGCAGCCAAGCGGGGGCAUCUGCGUGCCAGGAAUAUAUGGUUGCGUGUGUGCCACUGUUUAUCUGUUUGCAAAAUGUGCCAUAUGUUGACAGCCUAACAUAUGUCGAGCUAUAUGGAAGAUUAGUCAGAGAGAAAGAAGAGCCAGAAUAUGAGAAAGAGAGGGAGAAGAGGAAAUAUGAAAGUGAAAACAAACCCCAGUGACUGGCGAGAUGAUGAAUUCUUUGAGCUUGAGGGGUAUAUCUAGGUUACUUUUAAUCCCUACUGCCUGCAGUUUUGCUGGGCACGUAGGAGAUGCUUAGUUAGUAUAUCCUGAGAAGGAAAAGAGCCCAUGCAAGGUGCCUAGAACCAUGUCUCCUAUCACAGAUGGUGCAUGGCAAGUGUAGAUUGAAUGAAUGCAUGAGAGAAUGUUUAGAGCUAGAAAAACCCUCGGAGUUUCAUUGUAUCACUCUUUUACAGAUAAAACUGCAUCUUGGAGGAGCAUGAGAAUAAUGGCAGCCAGGCCAGCCUUGGGGCCUGGGUGCUGGAGCUGGAGCUGGAGCUUGGGUCCUGGGGUAUCAUCUACCACCUUCUUUGCCACACGGCUCUCACUGCUGGCGUCUGGACCCCACGUGUUGCUGCUGCAGCCGCCCUUGGCGCUGUCGGGAUUCUCAUCACAAGCCAAGGCCCCAUGCACCUGGAAGACAUUUGAACUCCUGCGCUGUUGA